AUUGAACGCUGGCGGCAUGCCUUACACAUGCAAGUCGAACGGCAGCACGGGUGCUUGCACCUGGUGGCGAGUGGAGAACGGGUGAGUAAUACAUCGGAACGUACCUUAUCGAGGGGGAUAACGCAGCGAAAGCUGUGCUAAUAACGCAUACGCCCUGAGGGGGAAAGCGGGGGAUCGCAAGACCUCGCGCGAUUAGAGCGGCCGAUGCCUGAUUAGCUUGUUGGUGGGGUAAAAGCCCACCAAGGCGACGGUCAGUAGCUGGUCUGAGAGGACGAUCAGCCACACGGGGACUGAACCACGGCCCAGACUCCAACGGGUGGCAGCUGUGGGGAAUUUUGAACAAUGGGGGCAAACCUGAUCCUGCAAUGCCGCAUGAGUGAAGAAGGCCUUCGGGUGGUAAUGCUCUUUUGUCAUGGAAGAAACACCGGCUCUAACACAGUCCGGGAAUGACGGUACCUGAAGAAUAAGCACCGGCUAACUACGUUCCAGCCGCCGCCGUAA
RNAcentral lists this ribosomal RNA (501 nucleotides) under uncultured bacterium. RNAcentral's name for it is "partial 16S ribosomal RNA". It matches the Rfam family "Bacterial small subunit ribosomal RNA", at positions 30 to 523 of the family's 1533-position model. The record is from RNAcentral.